Long non-coding RNA from Xiphophorus hellerii (green swordtail), 294 nucleotides. RefSeq lists it as uncharacterized. The record is from RefSeq and is a predicted model, not a curated record. The transcript is spliced from 2 exons. NCBI's taxonomy places the organism in Eukaryota, Metazoa, Chordata, Actinopteri, Cyprinodontiformes, Poeciliidae.
GCUGCCCUCCUGCAACAAUAUUCAGUUUUUGCUGCUUCACAAACAUCAUGUAGAGUUUAUCAUUGUUCUGAAAUCUUUAUAGUAACAAACUGGAUGAUAAUCUCUUAAUUAUGAAGGUCUGAUGAACCAAAGUGUUUGGAACUGAACUGAACAGAAAGUCUCUAGACCAGAUUAAAAUCUCCUGUUAUUAACGAUGGACAACAUGGACUUAGAUUAUUAUCACAGUAUUUUCUGGUAUUUACUGAAUAAUAAAAGUGAUGAUAGAAAGUUUAAACACAGCAUUGAUCAGGGAAA